RNA transcript from Elaeis guineensis (African oil palm), 1204 nucleotides. It is a transcript of the gene named prefoldin subunit 3, with no coding region annotated. Lineage: Eukaryota; Viridiplantae; Streptophyta; Magnoliopsida; Arecales; Arecaceae. The record is from RefSeq and is a predicted model, not a curated record.
CAAAAAUCUCCACAGGGUAGUGGACUCACACGGUCCCCUGCUUCCAGUUCUUGGAGGGGGAAAAAAAAAAAACCCUCGAGACCCUAGAGAGAGAGGCUUCCGAGGAAAUCUGCAAGCUCGCCUGAGCUCCUUCGAUCCUUCUUCGUCUCUCUCCCUUCUCUGCUUCUCGUUAAUGGCGGCUUCUACUUCCUCUUCGUCGGCUUCCUUACCCAGUGUCACGGAGCGGAGGGGCAUCCCGGCGGCUUCCUUCGUGGAGGACGUUGAGACCUAUCUUCAGCAAUCUGGCCUCGAUGUCAACUCCUCCCUCUCCUUCCUUCAAGAAAGAUUCGCUCUUCUAGAAGCUUUUUUUCCCCCCUUUUCCAGGCUUCAGCAGUACAGGAUUGUGGAAAUGAAACUUCUAGCACAGCAAAGGGAUCUUCAGGCUAAAAUUCCUGAUAUUGAGAAAUGUUUGGAUAUUGUCGCCACACUACAAGCUAAGAAGGGUACUGGUGAGGCAUUGAUUGCUGAUUUUGAAGUAUCAGAGGGCAUUUAUUCACGGGCAAGAAUAGAAGAUACCGAUUCAGUGUGUCUUUGGUUGGGAGCAAAUGUCAUGCUAGAGUAUUCAUGUGAAGAGGCUAAGGCCCUUCUACAGAAGAACUUAGAAAAUGCUAAAGCCAGUUUAGAAGUCCUUGUUGCUGAUUUACAGUUCUUGAGGGAUCAAGUGACUAUCACUCAGGUUACUACUGCUCGAGUGUAUAACUGGGAUGUUCAUCAGCGAAGGAUAAGACAAGCUGCAAUGGAAACUUGAUUUUCUAGUAGCCCCAUCUUAUUGAACUGGCUCUUGAUUGAUUAUGUUGUUUAGUUGGUCGCUUCUUUCCUGUCGCAGUUUUUGUUUCAGAUUUAUAUUUGGUGUUUGCUAUCAGCAAGACAAAAAUGAGCGCACGGCAUGCAGUGCCAUCACAAGUCUGGGCUGAGAGGCCGCGGUGCCAUAUUGAGGGAAAAUUACAAGCAUCAUGGCUAAAGUCAGCAUUGAGAACACAUAAUAAUAUGGACUAGUAUUGUCUGAAAUUUACUUUGUCUCGAUAGCAACUUGCAGUCUGGCCUUGAAUAUGGUUUUAGUUCCAGCUAUAUCAGAGAAUUGGUAUAAUUUGCAGUUUAUUUUUCUCCCAUUACACUCCUGCCUUUUCUUCUUUUUUUUAAUAAUAUUUUUCAUUUUGUUUUUGUG